RNAcentral lists this ribosomal RNA (589 nucleotides) under uncultured bacterium. RNAcentral describes it as "partial 16S ribosomal RNA". It matches the Rfam family "Bacterial small subunit ribosomal RNA", at positions 355 to 1375 of the family's 1533-position model. The record is from RNAcentral.
UGGGGAAUUUUGGACAAUGGGCGAAAGCCUGAUCCAGCAAUGCCGCGUGUGUGAAGAAGGCCUUCGGGUUGUAAAGCACUUUUGUCCGGAAAGAAAUCCUUGGCUCUAAUACAGUCGGGGGAUGACGGUACCGGAAGAAUAAGCACCGGCUAACUACGUGCCAGCAGCCGCGGUAAUACGUAGGGUGCAAGCGUUAAUCGGAAUUACUGGGCGUAAAGCGUGCGCAGGCGGUUUGCUAAGACCGAUGUGAAAUCCCCGGGCUCAACCUGGGAACUGCAUUGGUGACUGGCAGGCUAGAGUAUGGCAGAGGGGGGUAGAAUUCCACGUGUAGCAGUGAAAUGCGUAGAGAUGUGGAGGAAUACCGAUGGCGAAGGCAGCCCCCUGGGCCAAUACUGACGCUCAUGCACGAAAGCGUGGGGGAGCAAAACAGGAUUAGAUACCCUGGUAGUCCACGCCCUAAAACGAUGUAAACUAGUUGUUGGGGAUUCAUUUUCCUUAGUAACGUAGCUAACGCGUGAAGUUGACCGCCUGGGGAGUACGGUCGCAAGAUUAAAACUUAAAGGAAUUGACGGGGUCAUAGCUGUUUCCU